UGUGUGUGCGCGUGUAUCUCUGUGGGGGCGGGUGUGGAGUUCCGACCAGCGGCACCGUCCUCCCGCGAGGGAAACGGCCGGAGAGGAACGAAGCGAAGCGAGUGACAGCAAUGAUCGUUUGUUUGUUUGUUCUCAUGUGUCAUUGUAAUCGCACGGGAAGAAUUGCUAUGCGCAGGCGCAUGGGAUGCUACUAAAUACAGUGCUCAGGCGGGAGUAGGAAUAAGAAGUCGCACUUGUAGAAGAUAGACGAGUAAAUGAGAUUCUGGGAUUGGGAUGAAGAAAGGGAGCAACGAUCGGAGCAUUUGCAUUUGUUUAAGAGGAGCAUUCUUUUGUGGUGAGAAAAACAUAGGUGCCAGACUCCUUGUCGGCAAGACAACGAGGAAGAGUGUUUACUUCAUCCCAAGGGACCAGAUGGGGAUGCGACCAUCCAGAGGAGAAUACAAUGCGUGCGCCGGAGGGGAGGGACUUGAUUAAUGAAUACGUAGUGGGGUUCAACGUAAUGUAUGAACUUGACUUACAAAUAUGUAACAUUUCUGUGGACCGGUAUGCAAGUUAGGAGGAGCUAUCCCCCUUGCAUCCAGCUUUGCGCAGCGUUGAUUAAAACAUACCUGAU
RNAcentral lists this long non-coding RNA (613 nucleotides) under Gallus gallus (chicken). RNAcentral describes it as "lncRNA (ENSGALG00010016210.1)". The record is from RNAcentral. Lineage: Eukaryota; Metazoa; Chordata; Aves; Galliformes; Phasianidae.